CACGAGUGGAGUCUGUCCCGGGACCCUCUGAGCUCCAGAACGGCCCUGACACCGAGCCCACAUCUGCCCCAGAUCUCCCCGACUGGAGGCCAACUACCAAAUCUUUGCACAAAUUGUACACACUGCAAGAUCUGAUAGGAACAGGAAGCUACGGCCAGGUGUUCAAGGCAGUCCGAAAAUCAGACGGCCGAGAGGUUGCCAUCAAAAGAACGCAGAAAUGGAGCAACUACUGUUCUCUUCAGAUUGUGAGUUGGCAAAG
Long non-coding RNA from Cyprinus carpio (common carp), 259 nucleotides. RefSeq lists it as uncharacterized. The transcript is spliced from 3 exons. The record is from RefSeq and is a predicted model, not a curated record. Lineage: Eukaryota; Metazoa; Chordata; Actinopteri; Cypriniformes; Cyprinidae.